GGCCCGCGGGCGCUGAUGGCGGCUCGUGCCGCAGCCGGGGCCAUGGGGGUGGCGGGCGCGGGGCCCCGCGGGACCCUGCGCUCGGAGCCGCCCUGUGCCGCGGAGGCCGCCGCGGGGCCGUCCGCCCCGGGGGGCCGGGCCGCGCUGCGGGAGGAGGCGAGCCGCCGCCGCCCGACAGGACGCGGAUCCCGAGGGAGCGAGGGGCCGGAGCCGGGCUCGCCGCAGGCUGCCGCCCGUGAGCUUCCAGCGCUGGUGGGCUUGGACGUCUCAGCCCACCCUGAAGGGGGAUUGGCAGCUGCCAUGCCCAGGAGGAAGCCUGUCCGAAGCCGAAAAUCUAAAAGGAAACCACCUGCCAGCAAGCGUCCAGCCCGGGCGGAAGCUGAGGGGUAUGGGGCGGGGACCUCAGAGAAUGAGCCUGCCUCGCCCAUGAAAGUGCCAAAGAAACGAGGCCGUAAGUCCAAAGCAGAGCUGCUCCUGCUGAAGCUGUCGCAGGGUCUGGACUGCCAAGCACCGGAGCCUAUCUGUGUGCAGAAGAUACUGGGGAGCAACGAGGCACCUGACGGCUUGGAGGCCACGCCCAGUGGGCGCCCCAAGAGGCGGGCGGCUAAAGUGGCCUUGCUUUACUUGCAGGAGCUGGCCGAGGAGCUGACAUCGGUGUACCAGCCUCUGGCUUCCAACAAGGGCCCCCAGGAAUCAGAGUCCGACAGUUCGAGGAAGAAGCGCCGGAGCAGAAGGAGGAAAGAGGAGGAGACUGAUGAUGAUGACCUCUCUCGGGAUGUGGACUUUGUGCCCUCAGAGGAGGUGCUGCUGCAGGCAGCAGAGGAGGAGGAGGAGGAGGAGAGUGACGUCCUGCUCAGUGAGGUCUCUGAGUCAGAGCCAGAGGCUGUCCGAGGCCGCACCCCGAGGAUGCUGUCAGCAGGGAAGUCCAAGCCCCAGUGCCGAGGGCUUGCUCCCAAUGGCUUCCACAACUCCAUCAUGGCCCCUGUGUGGAAGUGUCCCAGCAUCACCCGCAGCCUGCGAGACCGGCACUACUCCUCCUGGGAAUUCCCCGACUGGCUCCCUUCUACGCGCAAGUGGACAUUUCUCUCGGAGAGCGAAUGUGCCCAGUACCUGCCGGGGGAGAUGAAGUCUCCCCUCUUUUCCAUCCAGCGGGAGGGCAUCGAAGAAGAUGGUGUCCUGUACCGCAUCAACAGGUUCAACUCCCUGCAGCCCCACGAGGAGCGCCUGGACGUGUCUUUCUUUGUGGGUGGCCCGGUGUGGGCCAUGGAGUGGUGUCCGUGUCCAGAGGGCUCUGCCGCCCCCCAGUAUGUGGCGCUCUACUGUAACAAGGGCAUGGACGAGAAGCACAGCUUGGCCGAGCUCCACACAGGCCCUGCACUGCUGCAGCUCUGGGCUCUGGGCAUCCUGCAGCCAGAGGCAGGCUCUGCCACCAAAUCCCGACUGGCCUACGCCAUCGCCACUGACCACGGCUGCAUUUGGGACAUGAAGUUCUGCCCCAGCGGAGCCUGGGAGCCGCCCACCACCUGCAGGAAGCCCCCUCAGAUGAGCCGGCUGGGCCUCCUGGCAGCAGCCUUUUCUGAUGGCAAAGUGCUCGUGUACAGCCUCCCGCACCCCGAGGGCCUGAUCACCCACAAGAGAGCCCAGGUAAAAGGUGGGCCCUUCCCAAAGCACACCAUCUGCAAGGUGCAGUGCAUCGCCACCCUGCAGGUUGGCUCCAUCCAGGCAGGGAACUCUUCUGAGUGUGGCCAGUGCUUCAGCGUCUCCUGGGUGCCUUCCAAGCCCCACCAGCACCUGGCAGCCGGCUUCUACGAUGGCACCGUGGCCAUCUGGAACCUGCCCACCAAGUCCCUGCUGCAGCGUGUGCGCCAGGCCGAUGGCUCCCUCAAGCUCUACCCCUUCAGGUGCUUCCUUGCCCACGACCAUGCUGUCAGGAGCAUCGAGUGGUGCAAAGUCAACAGCAACUUCCUGGUUACGGCGGGGAACGACCGGAAGAUCAAGUUCUGGGACCUGCGGCGGCUCUACGAGCCCAUCAACAGCAUCAAGCGUUUCCUGACCACCGAGAUCACCUGGCUGCUGCCCUACAAUGGCGUCACUGUGGCCCAGGACAACUGCUAUGCCUCGUAUGGACUGUGCGGAAUCCACUAUAUUGAUGCCGGCUACCUGGGUUUCAAGGCCUAUUUUGUGGCCCCGCGCAAGGGGACUGUGUGGAGCAUCUCCAGCUCCGACUGGCUGAACACUGUGGCGGCCGGGGACAUCACUGGGGAGCUGCUGGCGGCGGUGCUGCCAGACCUGGCCAUGAACCCGCUCAACAUCAAACGGCCUUCGGAGCGCAGAUUUCCCAUCUACAAAGCGGAUCUGGUGCCCUGCGGCUCUGUGGGAGGCGAGGAGGAGCCGAGGCCGAAGAGCAGGAUGUACGGCGAGAUGACGAAGGAGCAUUGCCUCCGCUUCCAGGAUACAGACCUGCUUCCGAAACUUCUUCAGCCGGCAGCCCAUGCGCAGGAUGCACGAGCAGGAGGUGAAGGCCGAGCUGAGCCUGGACCGCAUGCAGCUGGAGUCCAUCCACAAGGUUCGCUUCAGCCCCAACCUGGACUCUCACGGCUGGCUGGUGUCGGGUGGCCAGUCGGGCAUCGUACGGGCGCACUGCCUGGUGGGGCUCACCUCCCCGGUGGGCCACAAGCUGCUCCAGGAGUGCCGGGCCCAGUUCAGCGCCAUGGACGGGGACAGGCCGGAGAGCCCCAGCGGCAGGCUUGCCGAGCACGGCCUCCUGCAGGAACAGUAGCCACCUGUCUGCCUGGCCAGAGCCCUGCACGGGGAGCUGCCUCCAGGCUGCAGCGCCUUCCAGGGGUCACCAGGCCUGGGAGGAGACUGCAGCAGCCCAGCCAGGGUCCCUCCUCCAGGCCCCCAGGCUUGGGACCGGUUCAGUGCAUCAUGCAGCCUGCCUCUCCCAUCUGUCCCCCGCGGGGUGCGGGCAUGGGCCUGAGCGCCACAGGGACAGGCUGGCUGGCUGGGCGAGCUGUGGCUAGCCCCUUCUGCUGUCCGCUUGACCCAGCCUGUGAGCCAGAGCAGAACUGUGCAGGGGCCUCUCACCCACCUAUGGGGAGUGGUGGGGGCUGACACUCUGUGCAGGGGCCCCUCACCUGGCCCUGGAAGUCAUCGGCGGGGCUGACACUCUCUCUGUGCAGGGGCCCCUCACCUGGCCCUGGAAGUCAGCGGGGGUGGGGAGGGGGGCUGAUGCUCUGUGCAGGGGCCCCUCACCUGGCCCUGGAAGUCAGGGGGGGCUGAUGCUCUGUGCAGGGGCCCCUUCCCCCGGGGUGAUCCCGUGUGUGUGUAGCAUUGUGGUUUUGUGCCUGUUGCUGUCUGGUCGUCGCCUGGCUCCCAGCGUCUGGCUCAGGCACCUCCUGCAGGCCCAGGCACGGGUGCCUGUGGGCACCGGGGAGAGGCUGCAGAGCAGCUGUGGGGCUGGGCCCAGGCUGUACGAGCAGCGCCUUGCACCCAGGCCAGGAGCCGAGAACUCGCUCACAUUGAGCUGCUGUGAUCUUAACUGUUCAAUAAAGUGUUUGUUUUUUAAA
Gopherus flavomarginatus (Mexican gopher tortoise) is the source of this 3569-nucleotide RNA transcript. It is a transcript of the gene named general transcription factor IIIC subunit 2, with no coding region annotated. NCBI's taxonomy places the organism in Eukaryota, Metazoa, Chordata, Testudines, Testudinidae. The record is from RefSeq and is a predicted model, not a curated record. The transcript is spliced from 19 exons.